RNAcentral lists this long non-coding RNA (2810 nucleotides) under Actinidia chinensis (golden kiwifruit). Its description in RNAcentral is "long non-coding RNA (ACHI_LNC001176)". Lineage: Eukaryota; Viridiplantae; Streptophyta; Magnoliopsida; Ericales; Actinidiaceae. The record is from RNAcentral.
CAAAACCUAGAAAAAUAGAACUUAAGGUCUAACUCAUGUAUAAACAUAAGCAUACGCAUAUUAUAGACUAAAUCUUAUUUACAAAGCAAUCAAAUCUGUCAGUAACACAAAAUAUUCAACCGCCAAGAACUCGACCGAGUACGCUAAGAGCAGAGCAACCUCAAGAAUUCAAAGAACUUGAAGGCAACAUGGUUUAUAAUGAAGCUGUCAAACUUCCCAUGCGGGAAGGUAACAUGGCUCACACAAAUAUGAUCCUUCCUUUGAGUAAGUUGGCAUGGACUGAUCAUUGGAGACCUUACUCUUCAAAAUCUCAAGAAUCACAAAGAAGUUGAAGGUAACAGGGCUUAUAAUGAACCUGUCAAACUUCCCAGUGGGAAGGUAACAUGGCUCACACAAAUACGAUCCUUCCUUGGAGUAAGUUGGCAUGGACUGAUCUUUUGAGACCUUACUCUUCACAUAGUUGUCGUACCUCGUUUACUCUUGCUCAGUGGCUUGAGGAGCUGAGAGUAAGGACCUUAAUAUGGUUUCAACAGCAUGGCAAUUAAAUUGUUUAGACAGCAUCUCAUAAUUCCAUAAGCGGGUGAUGGACAGGAUCCGGUUUGAAUAAAAAUCCAUACGAGCUGAUGUAAAUCAAAGUGAUUGGAACAAAUUAAUUUUCUUGUGCUAAGGCAAACGGCUCAGCGAUGGCUUAAUGACAGCAAGAACAAAACAAAGAAUCCCUCCCUAUAGUCAGCGCUAUAAUUUGCUACUAAGGCUCCGUUUGGUAAUGCUUAAAAUCCAAGUUUUUUUUAAACUUGCUACUAAAAAGGUCAAAAUUUUUUGACUUUUUUGCUUUUGUGGCUUUACUUUACCUAAAACUAAGCAAAAAAACAAAAGCAAAAAAGCUAGAAAAAAAACUAAAAAAAGCUGGUGCCAAAUGGAGCCUAAAGCUCGCUAACUUGAAUUAGCAAAAAAAUAUGAAUCCCUCCUCAGCUAUGCCCUUGCCAAGAUAAUAUCUAAUAAUGGUUUAGCUGGCUAUGUUCUCCGGAAGAAUUGUCAUCUUAUAACCCGAAGAAUAAUGAAGAAUUGUCAUCUUAUAGUCCGAAGAAUAAUUGUAAGGUCUCCCAUUCUACAAUAAAAAACAAAGUCACUCAUCCUUCGUUAUAAAUGAGAACAAUACUCGUCCAAUCGUAAUAAGAGAUAACUUUCCCAGGUCAAAGGGCCAAGAAUUGCCUUAAAAUAUUUGUUAAUAAUAGUGGGUGUCGUGAGUAAUUAGGUGUGUGUUGAGUAAUUAGAGGGUUUGCAUAUGUAAUUUGGGUUCUCUCUCAUAUAGGUGUAUUAGGCUUAAGUUGAUAACUCUAAUCUUACUUUUUCCUAAUCUUCAAAGUUUACUGGCCCUUUAUUGAUGGAAUAAAUGAACCAAAUAACAUCUUUACUGGCCUUAUUCAGUCGGCCACUUAAAAAGUGUGUAUCUACAAAAAGGUCAGCCCUGGACGAGAAUGUCAAGAAAUUUGUUCUCCUUACUUGCAUCUACAGGAGCCUAUUGAAUGUUUGUCUUGCAAAUAUAGACAUAUGGUCCUUCCUAGCUAACAUCAGCAUGAACUCGACAUAGUUGUGUAGUACCUAAGCUUACUUGGACUCGCCAAGUGUGAAUAAGGACCAAAAGAUGAAUCCUUUAGUUAGACUGAAAUUGGGAAAACUUGGUUCGAUCUAGCCUUUGAGCUACUUUGGCUGCUUGGCAAUGUGACAUAUUGGACACAUGGUAAUGCCAUCAAACACAGAUCUUAGCCACAUAAAAAAACUCAAGGGUUUUACACAGAGCGCAAACAUUCAUCUGUUAACAAAAAAAAAUGGAUAAAAUUAUCAGAACAAAUUGAGGUAAUAGAAACCAAGUCAAAUGAUUCCCACAACUUUACCAAAGAAAACAAAGCACGAAAUAAAAGUUGGGACAAGAAAUUUACAAAAAGGAAAAGUUACCGCAAAGAAAGAUUCCUCUCAACAGUUCAAAUCAAAUUCAAAACAGAGAUGAAAGCAUAGUAGAAUUUGAACUGAACAAAAAAAAACUAAAAAAAAGAACUUCAAUGGGUUUUACAGAGAACACCAACAUUUCAUCUGUAAAUAACAAAAACAAUUGAUAAAAUUCUCGGCAUAAAUUGAAUAAAUAGUAAUGGAAUGAAACGAUUCAAAGAACGCAAAAAGAUUUUUUUUUUUUUUUAAAUAAAGGUUGCCGCAAUGAAAGAUUCAUCUCAACGUUCAAAUCAAAUUCAGAACAGAGAAUAAAAGCAUGGUAAAAUUUGAACUGAACCACAAAAAAAUUAAGAAAUAAAAUAAAAAAACGUGGAAAUUCAAAUGGGUUUUACAGAAAACACAAACAUUCCUAUGUAAUUAACAAAAAAUAAUUGAUUCAAUCAUCAGAACAGAUUGAAUAACCAAAAUCAAACGAUCCAUUGAACCCAACAAGUAAUUCUCAAAGAAUAAAGAAAGAUUCCUCUCCGUGGUUCACAGAAAACUCAAACCAAAGAAGAAAAGUAGAUUAUAAAUUGAAAUUAAACACAAAAACAAAAACAAAAACAAAAACAAAAACAAAAACAAAAACAAAAAACAUCAAAACCCAAUUGGGUUUUACAGAGAAGAAGCGUAAACAAAAACAAUGGACAAAAUGAAUAGCACAGAUUGGAUCAAACAAAGCAAAAACAUAUGAAUAGAAAGGAAAGGAAAAAGAUUGUGGUUGAAGAAGAAUGAGAACCCUAACCUUUGGACUGGGUUUGAAACUGUGCACGUAUCUUUUAUGGAGAAAGAGAUACUCAUUUUACGAAUCUGAAAUUCCAAAA